UCUACGGGCGGCAGCAGUGGGGAAUAUUGCACAAUGGGGGAAACCCUGAUGCAGCGACGCCGCGUGAGUGAAGAAGUAUUUCGGUACGUAAAGCUCUAGCAGCAGGGAAGAAAAAAAGUCCUUUGGACUUUUGACGGUACCUGACCAAGAAGCCCCGGCUAACUACGUGCCAGCAGCCGCGGUAAUACGUAGGGGGCAAGCGUUAUCCGGAUUUACUGGGUGUAAGGGGACCGUAGACGGCAGCGAAAGUCUGGAGUGAAAUGCCGGGGCCCAACCCCGGAACUGCUUUGGAAACUGUGCAUCUGGAGUGCAGGAGAGGUAAGCGGAAUUCCUAGUGUAGCGGUGAAAUGCGUAGAUAUUAGGAGGAACACCAGUGGCGAAGGCGGCUUACUGGACUGUAACUGACGUUGAGGCUCGAAAGCGUGGGGAGCAAACAGGAUUAGAUAUCCCUGUAGUC
RNAcentral lists this ribosomal RNA (457 nucleotides) under uncultured bacterium. RNAcentral's name for it is "partial 16S ribosomal RNA". It matches the Rfam family "Bacterial small subunit ribosomal RNA", at positions 338 to 795 of the family's 1533-position model. The record is from RNAcentral.